AUUGAUUAGUAUUUGUGCAUUUUUGGGCACUGUGAAGCCUUGCAUCUCUACUUCGGAUACCGCUUUACGGGGCAGCAGGAGUGGAACUGGUGGGUGCAACCGAAAUGUCUCUUUGACUAUUGCUUGAAGGGUUCAGUAAUAACUCUGUCAUUGCCCACUCCACUGUGCUUGAGGUAGUGUCAGUGCCCCCAAUGAAAAAAUCCUGAUGGAAACACGUAAGACAAUUAAGUUCUGAACUGAAGAAUCAGCAGGGCAUCAAGUAUAUCAUGGCUUGCCUUGGAUGCAACCGAAGAAGAACGUGGUCGUGUCCUCUCGUUGAUGAUACUAUCCAAAAUUUGAGUUAAUCUUUUCAAAUAAUUAUUCGUCUUUCGUCUUACACCUUGUGGAUCUACUAAUCGAAGUAUUGGGAAAUAGUCGGCAAUAUUUGGCUUGCCAAUUUGUUCCGUGACACCAACCACGAGAUCGCUGAAUUCUUGAGACAAAUCAGAAUUGUAAUUGGCUAUAUCAAGAGAGAAGAAGGUGUUUGAAAUUAAAUUAAGGGAAGUUGUGAAAACAGAUCGACGAAUGUCAACAGCGUGUCCGUUGUUGCAAUUUUCAUGAACAUAUUCAAGCAUUUCUUGAACUUUCUUUCCACGGAGGGCUUGGCUGGCAUCAAGCCUUUGCGAAGUGAACAUUUGUGUGGCAGUGAGUUUUCUGAGAAAUUUCCAAUGAGUCGACGCAGGCAACCAUAAGAUUGAGUUUCUGUGGUGUACACGUAGAGCAUCUGGGACUGUUCUGCUAGACAAUGCUUGGUCAUGUUUCUGUAAUGCUUCUUUGGCAAUAUUCGGAGAGGAGAUGACUAUUGUGGUUAUCCUACCAAGCUUGAGGGUCAUUAAAGGUCCAUAAGUUUGUGAGAGUUUAGCAAGUGUUCGGUGGGGCUUGUCACCGAGGGCUAAAAUGUUUCCAAUUAUCGGCAAUUGGCGAGGGCCAGGUGGGAGGACGGUGCAACCGGAGUUCCGGCGAAGUAGAACGGAUGCGUUGAGCACGUGUAGACAUGCCCAACAAAAAGAAAUUAGUAGCAGGUAAAAAAGGAUGCAGCACGUGAACCAAAACAAAAUUUAAGCUUGGAACCAAGUGAAGACACACCAUGAGAGAAUGAAAUUCUGAAUUAUUCAAGGACAAAAUAAUUACCAGACCAAGCAGUGAAAUCAUCUAUCAAUAUUGAAUAUGUACUUUCACUAAUAUAGACUGGAUCCCUUGGAUGAAAUGACACCUCUACCCUUCAUUAGGGAAACAAUUAGCAAGGGAACCCGCUUCCAAUGCAGGCAGAGGCAUGCAUAUCAAUAUACAUGCUCUUCACGAUUCUGCAUCAGUAUAAAUGUUCUUCACGUUUCGAAGAAAACAUUUACCAUUAUUUAAUAUGAAAGAAAUAAACUGAACUUCUCUUC
Long non-coding RNA from Populus nigra (black poplar), 1427 nucleotides. RefSeq lists it as uncharacterized. The transcript is spliced from 4 exons. The record is from RefSeq and is a predicted model, not a curated record. NCBI's taxonomy places the organism in Eukaryota, Viridiplantae, Streptophyta, Magnoliopsida, Malpighiales, Salicaceae.